RNAcentral lists this ribosomal RNA (464 nucleotides) under uncultured Coxiellaceae bacterium. RNAcentral describes it as "bacterial SSU rRNA". It matches the Rfam family "Bacterial small subunit ribosomal RNA", at positions 338 to 795 of the family's 1533-position model. Lineage: Bacteria; Pseudomonadati; Pseudomonadota; Gammaproteobacteria; Legionellales; Coxiellaceae. The record is from RNAcentral.
CCUACGGGGGGCAGCAGUGGGGAAUAUUGGACAAUGGGCGAAAGCCUGAUCCAGCAAUACCGCGUGUGUGAUGAAGGCCUGCGGGUUGUAAAACACUUUCGUUGGGGAAGAAAUGCUCAAAGUUAAUACCUUUGAGAGUUGACGUUACCCAAAGAAGAAGCACCGGCUAACUCUGUGCCAGCAGCCGCGGUAAUACAGAGGGUGCAAGCGUUAAUCGGAGUUACUGGGCGUAAAGGGCGCGUAGGUGGAUAUUUAAGUCGGAUGUGAAAUCCCCGGGCUUAACCUGGGAAUUGCAUUCGAUACUGGAUAUCUCGAGUAUGGUAGAGGAAAGCGGAAUUCCCGGUGUAGCGGUGAAAUGCGUAGAUAUCGGGAAGAACAUCAGGGCGAAGGCGGCUUUCUGGACCAAUGCUGACACUGAGGCGCGAAAGCGUGGGGAGCAAACAGGAUUAGAUACCCGGGUAGUC